This 174-nucleotide unclassified non-coding RNA is filed under the name soil metagenome. RNAcentral's name for it is "partial contains 5.8S ribosomal RNA, internal transcribed spacer 2, and large subunit ribosomal RNA". The record is from RNAcentral.
AACUGAUACUACCUGCGGGAACCUGCGGAAGGAUCAUUACCGAGGUUUAGAUUGGCCCGAAUAGGGUCCGCCUCUCCACACCGUGCGUACGCAUGUCAUUACGUUAUACACAAAGGACAAUGUGUUUAAAAAACCAAACCAAAACAAAGCAAAAACUUUCAACAACGGAUCUCU